This 63-nucleotide transfer RNA is filed under the name Tenebrionoidea sp. 14 KM-2017. RNAcentral describes it as "tRNA-Phe". The record is from RNAcentral. Lineage: Eukaryota; Metazoa; Arthropoda; Insecta; Coleoptera.
AUUCAUAUAGCUUAUAUAGAGCAUAAUAUUGAAGAUAUUAGGGAAAUGUAUUAUUUUUGGAUA